Dermacentor silvarum is the source of this 413-nucleotide long non-coding RNA. RefSeq lists it as uncharacterized. The transcript has 4 exons. The record is from RefSeq and is a predicted model, not a curated record. NCBI's taxonomy places the organism in Eukaryota, Metazoa, Arthropoda, Arachnida, Ixodida, Ixodidae.
GGGCAAGAGCACCAAAGGAAUUAUAACUGCCAUGGCCUCUAUGGCACCUUUGUCACAGGAGCAUGCUGACAUGGACAUAUUCACUGGAGAGGCCAUCGAUGUUGUCAUCGGAUCCUCAAGAGAUGACGGAAAGGUGUAUGCUGGAUCCGGGCAAUGAAUAGAAAAGGCUGCUUGGGGGACAUUGUUGCGGUCUACGUCUUACUAUGUUCUGCCGUAUGGCGUCCACAAUGUAUUGGAUGCCAGAUGAGCUUAAGAACAGAAGCGUGACUGGGACUUUGUCCAACAAGUCGCGAUCCAAGGGAAGGACUGAGGCCAGACCAGCCGUGACACCACAAAAGUUGUCAUCCUUGAAAAGUAUAUGAACAUACUGUUCCAAUGAACUGAUCUUCUCAUGUAUAGAUGGCACAUGCAAA